RNAcentral lists this transfer RNA (77 nucleotides) under Latilactobacillus sakei. RNAcentral describes it as "Lactobacillus sakei Pseudo tRNA". It matches the Rfam family "tRNA". Rfam says of the family: Transfer RNA (tRNA) molecules are approximately 80 nucleotides in length. Lineage: Bacteria; Bacillati; Bacillota; Bacilli; Lactobacillales; Lactobacillaceae. The record is from RNAcentral.
GUCCUAGUAGCUUAAUGGUAGAGCAGCGCGGAAGUGCACCUGCGGUCACGAAUCGGGUUCGAGUCCCGACUAGGAUA